UGAGUCAAUUUAUUUGUGUCUCUGG
This 25-nucleotide non-coding RNA is filed under the name Mus musculus (house mouse). Lineage: Eukaryota; Metazoa; Chordata; Mammalia; Rodentia; Muridae. The record is from RNAcentral.